ACGAUCGUAUCAAAGAACUCGG
Molecule: unclassified non-coding RNA, 22 nt
Filed under: synthetic construct
Description: mitfa(b692) sgRNA
Source: RNAcentral